AGAGUUUGAUCCUGGCUCAGAGUGAACGCUGGCGGCAGGCCUAAUACAUGCAAGUCGAACGGCAGCACAGCAGAGCUUGCUCUGUGGGUGGCGAGUGGCGGACGGGUGAGGAAUACAUGGGAAUCUGCCCAGUCGUGGGGAUAACGUAGGGAAACUUACGCUAAUACCGCAUGCGCCCUUCGGGGGAAAGCCGGGGACCUUCGGGCCUGGCGCGAUUGGAUGAGCCCAUGUCGGAUUAGCUAGUUGGCGGGGUAAUGGCCCACCAAGGCGACGAUCCGUAGCUGGUCUGAGAGGAUGAUCAGCCAUACUGGAACUGAGACACGGUCCAGACUCCUACGGGAGGCAGCAGUAGGGAAUAUUGGACAAUGGGCGCAAGCCUGAUCCAGCCAUGCCGCGUGAGUGAAGAAGGCCCUCGGGUUGUAAAGCUCUUUUGUCCGGAAAGAAAAGCGCCGGGUUAAUACCCUGGUGUCCUGACGGUACCGGAAGAAUAAGCACCGGCUAACUUCGUG
RNAcentral lists this ribosomal RNA (509 nucleotides) under uncultured bacterium. Its description in RNAcentral is "bacterial SSU rRNA". It matches the Rfam family "Bacterial small subunit ribosomal RNA", at positions 8 to 507 of the family's 1533-position model. The record is from RNAcentral.